CCUACGGGUGGCAGCAGUGAGGAAUAUUGGACAAUGGGCUUACGCCUGAACCAGCCAAGCCGCGUGAGGGAAGACGGCCCUAUGGGUUGUAAACCUCUUUUGUCAGGGAGCAAUUGCCGCUACGUGUAUCGUUAUCGAGAGUACCUGCAUAAAAAGCAUCGGCUAACUCCGUGCCAGCAGCCACGGGAAUACAGAGGAUGAUAGCGUGAUCCGAAUGUAUUUGGUGAAAGGGGUGCGUAGGGGGAAUGGCAAGUCAGCGGUAAAAUCGCGGGGCUAAACUUCGCACCGCCGUGGAUACUGGCAGUGUAGAGUGGGGGAGAGGUAUGCGGAAUGCGUGGUGUAGCGGUGAAAUGCAUAGAUAUCACGCAGAACACCGAUUGCGAAGGCAGCAUACCGGCGUCCAACUGACGCUGAAGCACGAAAGCGUGGGUAGCGAACAGGAUUAGAUACCCGUGUAGUC
Molecule: ribosomal RNA, 460 nt
Filed under: uncultured bacterium
Lineage: Bacteria
Description: partial 16S ribosomal RNA
Rfam family: Bacterial small subunit ribosomal RNA
Source: RNAcentral